GACGGAGGAGGCAAGCGUUAUCCGGAAUUAUUGGGCGUAAAGCGUGCGCAGGUGGCGAUUCAAGUCUGCUGUCAAAGGUCGGGGCUUAACCCCGGGAAGGCAGUGGAAACUGAAUAGCUAGAGUGCGGUAGGGGCAGAGGGAAUUCCCGGUGUAGCGGUGAAAUGCGUAGAGAUCGGGAAGAACACCAGUGGCGAAAGCGCUAUGCUGGGCCUGCACUGACACUGAGGGACGAAAGCUAGGGGAGCGAAUGGG
This 253-nucleotide ribosomal RNA is filed under the name uncultured bacterium. RNAcentral describes it as "partial 16S ribosomal RNA". It matches the Rfam family "Bacterial small subunit ribosomal RNA", at positions 524 to 776 of the family's 1533-position model. The record is from RNAcentral.